CUUGCCCGGCGUGGCACACGUCAGUGGGGCGAGAAGCGGUCGCUCCGCAAAACAUGCUGCUUACCUGGAAAUUAAGUAAAAGGCCGACGAGACAGCUACCGCCAAGAAGCCGAGAGACUGGGAAGGGCGCCGCGCGGGAAGACUCCUGAUAAAGCGUACGUAGCGCCUCCUGAAGCCAGUUUCUCGAAUUCCCUACCAUUGGACCACUUGAGGUGCCUUCUACAGAAGAGGAUGCUUCAAUCUUCAGAAGGAGUAAAUCCCAAUCCAACAGAACGAUUAUUUGCUGUCACUCAGAGUUGCUGAACCCUUGAUCCACAGAAAGGACUUUCACAAAACAUAAUGGACUUAUCCAAAGCAAAGAGUGUCUGAGCCCACUCCCCACAGUUUGUUCUUGUUCAGUCUUCUGAGUGUCUGAGCUACUUUUACAAUGAAUGGAUUUGACAGACUUUUCGUUUCUGAACUCCCCAUCAAGGAAGAAUGGGUUAGUUUUCCCUCAGAGACUCUAAAUAUGUCAUCCAUAGAAUGGACUUGUCCAGCCUGCUAAGGGUGAGCACCCCAAACACAGACUAGAUUUAACUUUUGGAGUACGGUAUGGUAUGCAUCCACAAAAUGGACUUGUCUGGCUUUUGCCAUAUCCAGACUUCUAUGCCCAGGAUGGACGUGAAGAGAUUUCACAUUGUCCACACAUGUGCUAGUCUUAGCCCUCUGAUAAUCUGAGCCCCCAUGCAAAAAUUAGAGGUACUUAUUUACCUCUCAAAGUGUCUGAGCUCUGAUCAUAUUUCACAGUUCGUGACACAUCGUCAUGGUUGUUCUAUGCGAAGCCUCUCAUUUUAUUUAUUCUUUUAUUCCUGCACCCAACUAUCAUUCUCUUCCUCCCACCGUUAACUCUUUUAUUGGGUUUAAUGUUAUCUCUUGGUGUGAUUUCAUAUAAAAUGUGCAUUUUUGUGU
Aethalodelphis obliquidens (Pacific white-sided dolphin) is the source of this 948-nucleotide long non-coding RNA. RefSeq lists it as uncharacterized. The record is from RefSeq and is a predicted model, not a curated record. NCBI's taxonomy places the organism in Eukaryota, Metazoa, Chordata, Mammalia, Artiodactyla, Delphinidae. The transcript is spliced from 2 exons.